GAAAUGCGAUACGUAAUGCGAAUUGCAGAAUUCAGUGAAUCAUCAAAUCUUUGAACGCAAAUUGCGCUUUCUGGAUAGGCCAGGAAGCAUGCCUCUUUGAGCAUCGUUUUCACCUCAGCUCGACUGCGCUCUUUCGGGAUGCUGCGUGUCGGAAAAUGAGUUUUGUCUCAUUGUCCUCUCGGAUAGUGAGUCACUUUAAAUUGCUGUGAUUGUGUCAUCAACCACUCAGCGGUCGUUCGAUUGCUAUCGGUGGUGCUAUGGAUAAAUUUUAUUCAAUGGCGCCAUUUUCGAUUUGAUUGAACGCUAUGACUGCCGAGUCAAUCGUGUGACACUCAGUGGAAAUUAAACGGAAAAAUGUCAAAGUUUUUCUAAUUCUUUUGAAUAAGAUCUCAAAUGAAGC
Molecule: unclassified non-coding RNA, 400 nt
Filed under: uncultured fungus
Lineage: Eukaryota; Fungi
Description: sequence contains ITS1
Rfam family: 5.8S ribosomal RNA (bases 1-106)
Source: RNAcentral